Molecule: ribosomal RNA, 253 nt
Filed under: uncultured bacterium
Lineage: Bacteria
Description: partial 16S ribosomal RNA
Rfam family: Bacterial small subunit ribosomal RNA
Source: RNAcentral
UACGGAGGGUGCGAGCGUUGUCCGGAAUCACUGGGCGUAAAGGGCGCGUAGGCGGCGCGAGCAGUCGGCGGUGAAAGCCCGGAGCUCAACUCCGGGUCGGCCGUCGAUACUCUCGUGCUUGAGCACUGUAGAGGCAGGUGGAAUUCCGGGUGUAGCGGUGGAAUGCGUAGAGAUCCGGAAGAACACCGGUGGCGAAGGCGGCCUGCUGGGCAGUAGCUGACGCUGAUGCGCGAAAGCUAGGGGAGCAAACAGG